GAAAAUCUGCACUAGAUAAGGAUAGCGAAAUUUGAAAGUUGAAACUGAGGGCAUUUCCGUGAAUUACAAUCGAAAUUCAGGUAUGGAAAGGCGGCAAAUUUGUGAACUCUCUGCCUAUGAAAAGAGUGGAGGUUAGCUGGCAUUUCUGUUCCUUCUCUCAUACUUUCCUAAUUGUCUUCAUUCUCCACCCAAAAAACCCCCUCUUUUGGAGUUUUGAUCUAAUACUCUGGUAAAUCAGGCCCAUUCCCCUAAAACCCUUAUUUCAUUUUCCCCUUUUGAGUCCAAUUUCAGUUCCUCUGUGAUAUACAUCUGCUUUCUCAGGUCAGCGAGCUGCAUUUUUUCCUCUCAUCGUCUAAUUUUAUUUCUGUAUAUGUUUUAACAAUUUCCCAACUUUUGCUUUGAGAAUAUUGUUAGGCUAUAUUCAAUUGUUGUUUCGUGUUCAUGAUUCUAAUGUUUUGCUAAGAUGAUGAUAUGAGAAUACCCAUUCAAGGAAUUGACACCCUGAAUCUGUUGGGAAAUUGGGAUGCUCAAGUGUAGAUCCCUUGCUGUUCAGAAUCUUCAGAUGUAAUUGUUCACUUGCCCCUUCAAAAUCAGCAAAAUCUAAGUAAUGAAUAGAGGGACCAGAAAAAAAAGUAUGUAAUUUGGAUGGGUGCAUUUCUUGCUAACUAAAACCAGGAGCUUUUGAUUAUGACUAAUAAUAGUAAAGUUGACACAGAAAUGAUUUUAUUGUUUGAUUGAGCUAGCAACUUGGACUUUAGAUUCUUUUUAUUGGUCUAGUUAUCUUUUUUGUACUUGAUCUGGGAUCGGGCUUUCACAAUAUAGCAUUUGCGCCCCUACGUUUUGACAUUUCCUGCUGAUUUCUUUUCUAACAAUUUAAUGAAAGUAGAUGAGGAUUAUCUGUAGAAUAUACUUGAGUUAUAGAAAAUGAAAUUGGCAUUAAGAAACUUCGCUCAUCCCAUAGUUUCUUGAGCUUCGUAAAAUACACCAUAGCAGGCAUAUUUCUUUGCAGGAAUUAGUCUCACUCUUGAUCUGGUACAACAUCGGUCCAUUGCUAUCACCGAAGCGCUGCUCAAGUUCAUCCAAUAGAUCUUGUCUACCUUUUUUCUAUGCACAAGUCAGUUCACUAGUCUGUUUCAAUUGCUUAAGAUCCUUGUCCUAUCCUGUCGUUUUAGAUAUCAAAUUUCGUUUGGUCUAGGUUUAAUAACUCCACUUGAAUAUGUCUGCAAAUAGUCCUCUAUUUUAUCACUCAUAAAGACCCGAAGAAAAUCUCAAAAGAUAACAGCUGCAUUCUAGUCUCUCUGUCAAUGCUUGAACUAAUUACAAUGGAAGGGAUUAUUCUGGAUAUGAAAAUCCAUUUUUUAAUGAUUCUGCGUCUUGUAUUCUUGUUUAAAUCUCAUCUCUUUAUACACUGAUUUAGUGUUAAGUUAAUAAUAAUGAAUUUAUUGAUCACAGGGAUGGGCCAGGGUGUCAACCUAGUGCUGAAAAUGAUUGAACAGGACAGUGCUUCUCUAGCAAAGAAAGCUGAAUUGUGUAAACAGACUAGACCAGAUUUGAUUGAUGAAAUUAAGGAAUUCUAUUGUUUAUAUAGAUCAUUGGCCGAGCGCUAUGACCGUUUGAAUGCGGAAUUAUACAAGAGUAUACCAACAGAGUUCCAAAUGAAUGGUGUUGACAAUGCCCUUGACACACCAAUGCUUACUCCUGCACAAAAGCUUGGUUUAUUCAAGACUGACCGUGUCGCGUCUGUGAGCUGUGGUGUUGCCAGUUCUGAUAUUUCAUUGAAGGGUGGCUCUGACUCAUCAUCGUCAUUAUCAUUAUCAGACUCUGAAUCAGAAUCUUUCAACUCCUCAGGCAAUGCCUACUACAACCUCCCCAUGAACACUGAUCAUCAUAAGGGCCUGCACUACAAGACUCUUGAGUUAGGGACUGCUCUUCCUAGCAUGGAAAAGAAGUUCAAGGUGGAUGUGGAAGAAAAUGGAGAUGGUAUGUUGAACGCAAAAGAAAUGAAAAUUAUGAAGAAAUGUGGAUUAAGGUUGUCAGAUACGAGGAAGAGUUGAGAGUUUUAAAGCUAAAAUUGCACCUCCCAAAAGAGAAAGUUACUGAGUUGAAAAACGAGGUUGCAAAGAGUGAACAUUUUAUGAUACUAGCAGAAACUUUGCAGGCUCAGCUUAAGCAGAUAUAGAUGUCAACAUGAGGGAGGCUGAUCUUGAAGAAGAGAGAGCGAGAGUAAUGGUACUGCAAAAACAAACAUCUGAUGAUAUGGAUGAAUUGCAAGGUCAGCUGAAAUUGGCUCAAGAAGAAAAAUCAUGUUGAAGGCCAAGCUUGAUUCAGAGAGUAAUCAGGUUUUAGGCUUACAGGAGAGGAUUGUCCAGUGCAAAAAUGAUUUAUCUGAUCGUGAUGAUAAGGUCAAAGCAUUAAAACUUGCACUGCUUAAUGCCAAGAAGAGUUUCUUGAUUGAGAAAUCACAUCUGCAGUUAUAUCUAAUUUGUCACAGAGAGAGAGCUUGUUGGAGGUGAGGCUCAGAGAACUGGAAUUACAAGACAAAUCCAUGGAAGAUAAAUUGAGGCAAUGUGAAACAGAGAAAAUGGAAUUGCAACUUUUACACGACACCCAAAGGAUCGGGUUGCAAACAGAGAUCAGUCAGUUGAAGGUAGAACUUGUUGACAGAAGUGGACGUAGAAAUUUUGAAUAAAAACCUUGACUGUCUUAAAUUCAAGUAUGAUAUGCUUGUGGCAGAGAAAGAUGGGCUGAAUGCCAAGGUAAAUACACUUACAGCAGAUUUGAGUUCACAAGACAAUCAAAUUGGGCAAAUGGACGAGCACCUCUGGCGCAUGCAGAUGGAAAUUUUGGAACUCAUUGCUAGGUCUGAAAUUGUGCAAAAACUAGUAGAUCCGCUUAGAUCGAGAGUGGUGGAGCUAGAAAAGGAGGUGGACAAGCAGAGGGGUGAGCUCUCUGCUGGUGCUGAACAGAAAAGGGAAGCAAUAAGGCAGCUGUGUUUCUCCUUGGAUCAUUACAGGAGUGGGUAUAAAGAGCUUUGUGUAGCUUUUAUUCAGCAGAAGCGGCAUGCAGUCAUGGCUUCCUAAGGUAUCCUAAUUCUAUCAUGGUAUUAGUAAGGUUUCUAUAGGUCAUUUACAUGUUUUGUAUGUGUAUGAAAACAAUUGUUUGUUGUGAAGCUUUGUUCUUUGCUGGAAAGUUUUGGGAUGGUAUUUUUGGCUCAUUAUCAAUCUAGAUAUUUGAUGAUAACUAAUCUUGAAAUUCCUAUUAUUCACUAUAUUUUGAAUCUUGGCGAUGAAUACAAUCAUCUAUUCAACUUAUGAAAUGGC
This 3320-nucleotide unclassified non-coding RNA is filed under the name Hevea brasiliensis (rubber tree). Lineage: Eukaryota; Viridiplantae; Streptophyta; Magnoliopsida; Malpighiales; Euphorbiaceae. The record is from RNAcentral.